RNAcentral lists this long non-coding RNA (712 nucleotides) under Rosa chinensis. RNAcentral describes it as "sRNA RchiOBHm_Chr3g0476951". Lineage: Eukaryota; Viridiplantae; Streptophyta; Magnoliopsida; Rosales; Rosaceae. The record is from RNAcentral.
UAUAACAAUUACUCUAACCCGCACGAUCACCGUCCUAAUUCUCCUAACCUGCAGGAUUACCCGCUACACAAUUUGAAUAGUGUACCGGGAUUGCAACAACACCAAACCAGGUAAGCUUUUGACAGCUCGUGAGUAAAUAAGAAGGGAAUGUUGAUUUUAUAACAUAUGUAUUUUAACUCAAGUAAAAAUCAACAAUCAAAACAUUUGUGAUGAAACAUCAAACAAAACACGGGAAAUCCACAACGAAUACUUUUCCACACUCUUCUAACCACAAUAUCACCACUUUGGUCCAUCCCGACUAUUUGGACCCAACACCAAUAACACGUUAGAUUUCUAACAACCUCGUUAACUGUCACCUCGGUUAAGGCUUAAAUAAACGAUAUACAUCUCAGUUAUUAUUUAACCGGCGUUCUUCGGACUCCCUGUCCUCAGAGCACUACAUCUCGGUUAUUAUUUAACCGGCGUUCUUCGGACUCCCAGUCCUCAGAUGUACACUACAUCUCGGUUAUUAUUUAACCGGCGUUCUUCGGACUCCCUGUCCUCAGAGCACUACAAUUCUACCCUCUAAUCAACUCAGAAGGUCAACAUGAUUAUCACACACAUUUAUCGGUUAACAUCAUCAUAAAUAAUCAUGGCAAUUUCCAAUACAAUAUCAUAUCUCAACCAAAUUAUCGUAAUUCCACACACACCUCAAUGUCACACCAUUCCAUAU